RNAcentral lists this transfer RNA (82 nucleotides) under Candidatus Aenigmatarchaeota archaeon. RNAcentral describes it as "tRNA-Ser". It matches the Rfam family "tRNA". From Rfam's summary of the family: Transfer RNA (tRNA) molecules are approximately 80 nucleotides in length. Their secondary structure includes four short double-helical elements and three loops (D, anti-codon, and T loops). Further hydrogen bonds mediate the characteristic L-shaped molecular structure. tRNAs have two regions of fundamental functional importance: the anti-codon, which is responsible for specific mRNA codon recognition, and the 3' end, to which the tRNAs corresponding amino acid is attached (by aminoacyl-tRNA synthetases). tRNAs cope with the degeneracy of the genetic code in two manners: having more than one tRNA (with a specific anti-codon) for a particular amino acid; and 'wobble' base-pairing, i.e. permitting non-standard base-pairing at the 3rd anti-codon position. The record is from RNAcentral. Lineage: Archaea; Nanobdellati; Candidatus Aenigmatarchaeota.
GCUGGGGUGGCCGAACGGCAAGGCGCAGGUUUGCUAAACCUGUGGGCGUCAGCCCUCGAGGGUUCGAAUCCCUUCCCCAGCG